GAUAAGAACGUAGCGAAAUGCGAUACUUGGUGUGAAUUGCAGAAUCCCGUGAACCAUCGAGUCUUUGAACGCAAGUUGCGCCCGAAGCCAUCAGGUUGAGGGCACGUCUGCCUGGGCGUCACAUAUCGUUGCCCAAUGCCUAUUGCAGUGCAAUAGGAAUUUCUAGGGCGAAUGAUGGCUUCCCGUGAGCGUUGUUGCCUCGCGGUUGGUUGAAAAUCGAGUCCUUGAUAGGGUGUGCCAUGGUAGAUGGUGGUCGAGUUAGAACGAUACCGAUCAUGUGCAUGCUCCCCAAAAUAUGGCCUCUAUGACCCACACGCGUCUUUUGACGCUCAUGACGAGACCUCAGGUCAGGCGGGGCUACCCGCUGAAUUUAAGCAUAUCAAUAAGCGGAGGA
RNAcentral lists this unclassified non-coding RNA (394 nucleotides) under soil metagenome. RNAcentral describes it as "partial contains 5.8S ribosomal RNA, internal transcribed spacer 2, and large subunit ribosomal RNA". The stretch from base 4 to 121 matches the Rfam family "5.8S ribosomal RNA", at positions 39 to 154 of the family's 154-position model. The record is from RNAcentral.